ACUCUACGGACACAAUCAUUCC
This 22-nucleotide small nuclear RNA is filed under the name Arabidopsis thaliana (thale cress). Its description in RNAcentral is "snRNA_01407". Lineage: Eukaryota; Viridiplantae; Streptophyta; Magnoliopsida; Brassicales; Brassicaceae. The record is from RNAcentral.